This 794-nucleotide ribosomal RNA is filed under the name Ramularia variabilis. RNAcentral's name for it is "eukaryotic LSU rRNA". It matches the Rfam family "Eukaryotic large subunit ribosomal RNA", at positions 77 to 902 of the family's 3401-position model. Lineage: Eukaryota; Fungi; Ascomycota; Dothideomycetes; Mycosphaerellales; Mycosphaerellaceae. The record is from RNAcentral.
GCCCUAGUAACGGCGAGUGAAGCGGCAACAGCUCAAAUUUGAAAUCUGGCGCAAGCCCGAGUUGUAAUUUGUAGAGGAUGCUUCUAGGUAGCGACCGGUCUAAGUUCCUUGGAACAGGACGUCAUAGAGGGUGAGAAUCCCGUAUGUGACCGGCCCGCACCUUCUACGUAGCUCCUUCGACGAGUCGAGUUGUUUGGGAAUGCAGCUCUAAAUGGGAGGUAAAUUUCUUCUAAAGCUAAAUACCGGCCAGAGACCGAUAGCGCACAAGUAGAGUGAUCGAAAGAUGAAAAGCACUUUGGAAAGAGAGUUAAAAAGCACGUGAAAUUGUUGAAAGGGAAGCGCUUACAACCAGACUUCUGGGCGGUGUUCCGCCGGUCUUUUGACCGGUCUACUCGCCGUCCCGAGGCCAACAUCAUCUGGGACCGCUGGAUAAGACCUCAGGAAUGUAGCUUCCCUCGGGAAGUGUUAUAGCCUGUGGUGAUGCAGCGCGUCUCGGGUGAGGUCCGCGCUUCGGCAAGGAUGUUGGCGUAAUGGUUGUCAGCGGCCCGUCUUGAAACACGGACCAAGGAGUCUAACAUCUAUGCGAGUGUUCGGGUGUCAAACCCCUACGCGUAAUGAAAGUGAACGGAGGUGGGAAGCGUAAGCUGCACCAUCGACCGAUCCUGAUGUCCUCGGAUGGAUUUGAGUAAGAGCAUAGCUGUUGGGACCCGAAAGAUGGUGAACUAUGCCUGAAUAGGGUGAAGCCAGAGGAAACUCUGGUGGAGGCUCGCAGCGGUUCUGACGUGCAAAUCGAU